ACAAUUAUGAAGGUGUUGUCAUAAUACAUGAAGUCUUGCUUGAGAAUGCUCCGGGCACCUGGGUAUGGAAGGAAGAAUGGAAAUUGUAAUAACAGAAUCUUAAUUCUAAUAGAAUAUUAAUAAUGCUCUAAUUAGUCCAUAAUAAUGCUAAGUAAGCUUAAUCAAAUUAAAAAAAAAUCUCAAAGAAAGUUAAAAUAAAUAAUAAGAAUUCUUAAAGAAAUAUUAAAAGGAUCAAAAUAUGACUCAAAUACAUCUCAAUUCAAUCUUAAUUUAAUUCUAGUUAAAUUUCUAUUGAACUUCAUUCAAACUUUAGGCCAAAACUAAUUGAAUCUUAAAUCCUAAUAAAAUCCUAUCUCUUAAAUCAAACCCUAAACAAACUUUAAAUCAAAUCCCAAUCAAAUCCUAAAUCCUAAAUCAAACCCUAACUAAAUCCUAAACCCUAAACCAAAUCCUAAUCCCAACCUUAAAUCCUAAAUAAAACCCUAAUGAAAU
Molecule: long non-coding RNA, 492 nt
Filed under: Physcomitrium patens
Lineage: Eukaryota; Viridiplantae; Streptophyta; Bryopsida; Funariales; Funariaceae
Description: long non-coding RNA (PPAT_LNC014605)
Source: RNAcentral